This 524-nucleotide unclassified non-coding RNA is filed under the name Entoloma rhodopolium. RNAcentral describes it as "sequence contains 5.8S rRNA gene and ITS2". Lineage: Eukaryota; Fungi; Basidiomycota; Agaricomycetes; Agaricales; Entolomataceae. The record is from RNAcentral.
GCACCUUGCGCUCCUUGGUAUUCCGAGGAGCAUGCCUGUUUGAGUGUCAUGAAAUUAUCAACCUUUCUGGCUUUUUAUGAGCUGGUCAGGCUUGGAUUGUGGAAGUUGCUGGCUUCUUUUUGAGAUCAGCUCUUCUUAAAUGUAUUAGCAAAAUUCUUGCUGGACCAUCUUUGGURUGAUAAUUAUCUAUACCAUUGAGAUCACAGCUUCCACUUCAGCGGAUUUCAGGCUCUGCUUGGAUUUAUUUCCAAGUGUUCGAUUCAACCGCUCUGAAGCACCAGCCUAGGCACAGACAUUAACUUGUUUGAUGGUGUUGAAUACUUCAGGUUGACGAAGCGAGGUGCUUCCUUAGGGAAGUGCUCACGARAGCAAGCAGUGUCARAGCAUCAUCAAGAUGUACUGAUAUGUGCACUGUCAUAUUCCUGUACCUACCCCUAGCUACUAUGUGGCUUUGAUGGGUUUGGUCAAACCAUGACCUGAACAUAUCCWUAGUGRGARGAUCUUGCUUCUAAUAUUGUUCCUAG